RNAcentral lists this transfer RNA (77 nucleotides) under Gammaproteobacteria bacterium. Its description in RNAcentral is "tRNA-Arg". It matches the Rfam family "tRNA". From Rfam's summary of the family: Transfer RNA (tRNA) molecules are approximately 80 nucleotides in length. Their secondary structure includes four short double-helical elements and three loops (D, anti-codon, and T loops). Further hydrogen bonds mediate the characteristic L-shaped molecular structure. tRNAs have two regions of fundamental functional importance: the anti-codon, which is responsible for specific mRNA codon recognition, and the 3' end, to which the tRNAs corresponding amino acid is attached (by aminoacyl-tRNA synthetases). tRNAs cope with the degeneracy of the genetic code in two manners: having more than one tRNA (with a specific anti-codon) for a particular amino acid; and 'wobble' base-pairing, i.e. permitting non-standard base-pairing at the 3rd anti-codon position. The record is from RNAcentral. RNAcentral also lists the same sequence under 4 other names. Lineage: Bacteria; Pseudomonadati; Pseudomonadota; Gammaproteobacteria.
GCGCCCGUAGCUCAGCUGGAUAGAGUACCGCCCUCCGAAGGCGGGGGUCAGAGGUUCGAAUCCUCUCGGGCGCGCCA